AUUGAACGCUGGCGGCAGGCCUAACACAUGCAAGUCGAGCGAGAGGCGGACGGGGGAGUAAUGUAUGGGGACUGCCCGAUAGAGGGGGAUAAAAACUGGAAACGGUGGCUAAUACCGCAUACUAUCGGAUAACCCAUAUGGGAUUAGCGAGUAGGUGGGGUAAAGGCUCACAUAGGCGACGAUCUCUAGCUGGUCUGAGAGGAUGAUCAGCACACCUGGGACUGAGACACGGCCCAGACUCCACCGGGGGCAGCAGUGGGGAUAAUUGCACAAGGGGCGCAAGCCUAAUGCAGCCAUGCCGCGUGUAGGAAGAAGGCCUUAGGGUUGUAAAGUACUUUCAGCGGGGAGGCGUUACCCGCAGAAGAAGCACCGGCUAACUCCGUGCCAGCAGCCGCGGUAAUAC
RNAcentral lists this ribosomal RNA (403 nucleotides) under uncultured bacterium. RNAcentral's name for it is "partial 16S ribosomal RNA". It matches the Rfam family "Bacterial small subunit ribosomal RNA", at positions 29 to 526 of the family's 1533-position model. The record is from RNAcentral.